CCGUCACAUCGAAUCUUGUGGCACAUGCAUAAAACAUUAAAUAUAGACAAAAACAAAAACUAAUUACACAGUUUAGCUGUAAAUCACGAGACGAAUCUUUUAAUCCUAGUUAGUCCAUGAUUGAAUAAUAUUUGUCACAAACAAACGAAAGUGUUACAGUAUCGAAAACUUUUCACUUUUCGGAAGUAAACAAGGCUCUAGCCUCAAAGCCGCACGCGUUCGCUUAAUCGGGCCACGGGUUGGCCGAUCGUGGAAACAAACAGGGCC
RNAcentral lists this long non-coding RNA (267 nucleotides) under Sorghum bicolor (sorghum). Its description in RNAcentral is "long non-coding RNA (SBIC_LNC009463)". The record is from RNAcentral. Lineage: Eukaryota; Viridiplantae; Streptophyta; Magnoliopsida; Poales; Poaceae.